Long non-coding RNA from Pogoniulus pusillus (Red-fronted tinkerbird), 501 nucleotides. RefSeq lists it as uncharacterized. NCBI's taxonomy places the organism in Eukaryota, Metazoa, Chordata, Aves, Piciformes, Lybiidae. The record is from RefSeq and is a predicted model, not a curated record. The transcript is spliced from 3 exons.
CAGCGGGCAUGAUGGCCGUCAGCGGGACGAUGGCACGAGGCAGCUGGUGGCACCCGUAGUGUCCUCGCACAAAGGAGAUCCCCUGGCAAGAUGGAUGGUCCAAAAAGUUACACUUUUGAAUUCUACGUUCAAGGCAGAGUGACCUCUCAGAGGGACAAUGGAGGGAUGCUAAGGUCCUCAGCAGCAGCAUCCCAAAGCAGAUUGCUGAGGACUGCGACAUCCAGUGUACUGCACCUUCUGAAUAAGACGUCUAGGGAAUGAAGUUCAUCUCUUCAAGUACUUUGUACAAAAGAUAACACAGAGACAGACUCAAAAGGGUCUGAGAUUUGCAAGUAUCCUCAUAACCUCAGCACUUCUGCAAUAAAGCAAUUGCUCGCGACGGCUCCGUCUGCCCAAAGCGAUUACAAUUUCGGUUCAGGAAAAAUCAUCAGCAACAUCAAAGUUCUGGCAUUUGCAUGAUAAAUCAGGUGAAUUAAAGUAGAUUAGUAGACACAAAGCGAA